This 351-nucleotide small RNA is filed under the name Pongo abelii (Sumatran orangutan). Its description in RNAcentral is "processed transcript". Lineage: Eukaryota; Metazoa; Chordata; Mammalia; Primates; Hominidae. The record is from RNAcentral.
GACAACUACAUAAGCAGACAAAAUUGCAAAGAUCUGCCCUGUGUCGAGUAUGACAGCCACGACUCGUGGCUCUCCGGUCGGAGGGAAUGACAACCAGGGCCAGGCUCCUGAUGGACAGUCUCAGCCCCCCCUCCAACAGAAUCAGUAACACACAAGAAAGAGAGCAGACAGGAAAGUAACCCCACUGCCUCCUUAAUAGUCUUUAUAGCUUCGUCGCUGCCAAGUGCUUUAUAACCCAUGAUUCUUAGUAGAUUUAAUAAAUGAAAGGGAGUGACAGUGUUAGUAAAAAUUUCACAUUAAUGAUCAUCUUGGUUGCUGGAUGACUUUCAUAAUUUUUGGGAUGGCCUGAGG